Molecule: transfer RNA, 90 nt
Filed under: Pedosphaera sp.
Lineage: Bacteria; Pseudomonadati; Verrucomicrobiota; Pedosphaerae; Pedosphaerales; Pedosphaeraceae
Also listed under: 4 other names
Description: tRNA-Ser
Rfam family: tRNA
About the family: Transfer RNA (tRNA) molecules are approximately 80 nucleotides in length. Their secondary structure includes four short double-helical elements and three loops (D, anti-codon, and T loops).
Source: RNAcentral
GGAGAGAUGGCUGAGUGGUUGAAAGCGCUCCCCUGCUAAGGGAGUAUAGGUUAACGCCUAUCGGGGGUUCGAAUCCCUCUCUCUCCGCCA